Molecule: ribosomal RNA, 433 nt
Filed under: uncultured bacterium
Lineage: Bacteria
Description: partial 16S ribosomal RNA
Rfam family: Bacterial small subunit ribosomal RNA
Source: RNAcentral
AACGAACGCUGGCGGCAUGCCUAACACAUGCAAGUCGAACGAAACCUCCGGGUCUAGUGGCGCACGGGUUCGUCACGCGUCGGAACCUGCCCUUAGGUUCGGCAUAACUCUCAGAAUGGGGUGCUAAUACCGGAUCAUGUCUUCGGCCCAAGGAUUUAUCGCAUUUGGUUGGGCCCGCGUGGGAUUAGCUAGUUGGUAGGGUAAAAGCCUACCAAGGCGCCGAUUCAUAGCUUGUCAGAGAGGAUGAGCAGCCACACUGGGACUGAGACACGGCCGAGACUCCUACGGGAGGCAGGAGUGGGGAAUAGUGGACAGCGGGGGAAGGGCUGAUGGAGCAAGGCUCGGUAAGUGAUGAUGGUCUUAAGGUAGUAAAGCGCAUUUAACCGGGAUGAUAAUGACAGUACCGGGUGAAUAAGCUCCGGCUAACUCCGUG